Molecule: long non-coding RNA, 1458 nt
Filed under: Pavo cristatus (Indian peafowl)
Lineage: Eukaryota; Metazoa; Chordata; Aves; Galliformes; Phasianidae
Description: lncRNA (ENSPSTG00000008609.1)
Source: RNAcentral
ACAGCGCGAGGGGAACGCAGCGGCUCCGCGGCGGCUCCAGGGCGCGUCACCCCGGGCUGCUGCCCUCGGACCGGGGGUCGGGGCAGGCGGGGUGCGACGGAGCCCUCCCGGAGCCGCGAGCAGCCACGUGUAGCACCGCGGGGCGAUGGCAGCGUUCCGCCGGUCCGGGAGUUACAGAGGUGGAGCCGUAGGCUUUCCGGCACGUACGGGCCGGGCUGGGAACCGGCUGGCGGCUGCGGGACGGGCGGCCCCGAGCAGUAUUCGCGUUGACUGCCAGCAGGCAGUCUGAUGGUGUGCGAGCGGGGUGUGAAUGGAGCGCCGCGUGCGGGGCACCGCGCUGCUGCGACCUCCGCUUUCGUGGCUCCAUCGGUGGAGUUGUUCUCCUAGAAGCGUUUGUUUUAACAGCGCUGACUUGAAUGACAAACCUUCCCUUCGGAAAGAGCUGCCCGCAUCACGGCGACGUGCGAACGGAAGAGCGGCCGCACGGAUGAGAAUUAAAACCAAAUUCCUCUUAUCUACGUGAGAAAUCAGCCGGAAGAAAACGGAAAUAUACCCGACUUUAAAAUACAUAUGUAUAUAUUUAUUUUUUGUGUAAAAUACUUCGUUCGCUGUAAGGCAUUGAUCUCUUAAUGAGUUUCUACGUUGUUCUGUUGCAGCUGCCGCGCGGCCCCGGGCACGGUCCGCGCUGCGCUCCCGGCGCUGUGACGCGCAUCGCCCCGCACCGCCGCCUGCCCGGAGGGAACGGCAGCGCGCAGGUUGGUGCCAACGCACUCACUCUCAGUGCAGCUUGAUGGCUCCGUUUCUUAAUUACCUCUCUCAGCUGAACGAAGCCUGACUCUGACGGACGGAGCGCAGGCGGGUGGCGGUCACAGCGGCUCGGGGCUGCGGGGCCGCUCUGCCCGCGGUGCGGAGGCUGCCCCCCCCCGAGGUCGUUCGCGGCGCUGUGCGGCCCCGGGGCAAGCGGUGUGCAUGGGGCCGUGCUCUAUGCGUGAGCCUUGCAGGGUCCGCACCGGCUGCUGCGGGCUCUGCCGCUGUCACUGCAGCAGCAGAGGUGGCGCGGACGGUGUUUUCUCUGUAAGCAAAGCAAAGGGCGCGGAUCGAGGGCUGGAAAAGCACCAUCAAAGCGGUUCCUUCCUCCGUCUGAGCGCCGAUCCGGUCACGGUUAAUUGGCGAACGUCACGACGGCUCUCUGAACAAAACGCCCUUCAGGUGAGUUUCCAGCUCCGACGCCCUACAUUCACUUUUUAUGAAGUUUCUCGAGGAAACCUACGCCAGGCUCUGCCCUCCGUCAGCUCCCGGCCGCAAACAACCCCGCGGGCGGACAGACGGACGACGUUAGGCCGCCUUCGCACCGGGGAAUCGCCAGAACCGGAGCUCCGCCGUGCGAUGACCGCCUCCAGUGACAUCGAUGGCGUUCGUCAGGGGGCGGAUUUCGUGUCCCGAGACGUGUGUGAGUAA